CCUCCUUUCUUCCUCCUUCUCUCCUCCUUCCCCCUUUUGUCCCCCCUUCUGGUGCGACGCCGCGUGGGGUAAUGAAGGUCUUCGGAUUGUAAACCCCUGUCAUGUGAGAGCAAAUUAAAAAGAUAGUACCACAAGAGGAAGAGACGGCCAACUCGUUGCCAGCAGCCGCGGUAAAACAGGGGUCUCAAGCGUUGUUCGGAAUCACUGGGCGUAAAGCGUGCGUAGGCUGUUUCGUAAGCCGUGUGUGAAAGGCGCGGGCUCAACCCGCGGAAGGCACAUGAUACUGCGAGACUAGAGUAGUGGAGGAGGAACCGGAAUGCUCGGUGUAGCAGUGAAAUGCGUAGAUAUCGAGCGGAACACUCGUGGCGAAGGCGGGUUCCUGGACAUUAACUGACGCUGAGGCACGAAGGCCAGGGGAGCGAAAGGGAUUAGAUACCCGAGUAGUC
This 446-nucleotide ribosomal RNA is filed under the name uncultured bacterium. RNAcentral describes it as "partial 16S ribosomal RNA". It matches the Rfam family "Bacterial small subunit ribosomal RNA", at positions 366 to 795 of the family's 1533-position model. The record is from RNAcentral.